GGGGAAUUUUCCGCAAUGGGCGAAAGCCUGACGGAGCAAGACCGCGUGAGGGAGGAAGGCUCUUGGGUUGUAAACCUCUUUUCUCAGGGAAGAAGAAAGUGACGGUACCUGAGGAAUCAGCCUCGGCUAACUCCGUGCCAGCAGCCGCGGUAAUACGGAGGAGGCAAGCGUUAUCCGGAAAUAUUGGGUGUAAAGCGUCCGCAGGUGGCACGCCCGUGUUCAUGGGGAAUUUUCCGCAAUGGGAUUAGAUACCCC
Molecule: ribosomal RNA, 255 nt
Filed under: uncultured cyanobacterium
Lineage: Bacteria; Bacillati; Cyanobacteriota
Description: partial 16S ribosomal RNA
Rfam family: Bacterial small subunit ribosomal RNA
Source: RNAcentral